GGCACUAUGGCCGAGUGGUUAAGGCGACAGAUUCGAAAUCUGUUUCGCGUUGCGAGCGCAGGUUCAAGUCCUGCUGGUGUCG
RNAcentral lists this transfer RNA (82 nucleotides) under Fomitopsis schrenkii. RNAcentral describes it as "tRNA-Ser (CGA) (tRNA-Ser-CGA-1-1)". It matches the Rfam family "tRNA". Rfam says of the family: Transfer RNA (tRNA) molecules are approximately 80 nucleotides in length. Their secondary structure includes four short double-helical elements and three loops (D, anti-codon, and T loops). The record is from RNAcentral. Lineage: Eukaryota; Fungi; Basidiomycota; Agaricomycetes; Polyporales; Fomitopsidaceae.